GAAAUGCGAUACGUAAUGCGAAUUGCAGAAUUCAGUGAAUCAUCGAAUUUUUGAACGCAAAUUGCGCUUUCGGGAUAGACCUGAAAGCAUGUUUCUUUGAGCCUCGUGUCUAACCCACCUCGGCUGCGUGCCGGAAAAUGGAAGUCUUGUUUCAUGGAACAAGUCUUCUUAAGUUGAUUGAGUCCAUGACUGCCCGCCUGGCAAUGCUUCUUUUGUUCAGCGGCGCGAUUGCAAGUGUAAACUUAAUCUCUCGUCGCUCUGCAUUGAUGCAGAACCUUUUGGUUGGUCAGAUCAAGGAUGAUUCGGAAAAACACUUUUGACUUAGAGCUCAAAUGAAGCAAGAUAACCCGCUGAACUUAA
This 360-nucleotide unclassified non-coding RNA is filed under the name uncultured fungus. RNAcentral describes it as "sequence contains ITS1". The stretch from base 1 to 106 matches the Rfam family "5.8S ribosomal RNA", at positions 50 to 154 of the family's 154-position model. Lineage: Eukaryota; Fungi. The record is from RNAcentral.